Molecule: long non-coding RNA, 1488 nt
Organism: Cynoglossus semilaevis (tongue sole)
Lineage: Eukaryota; Metazoa; Chordata; Actinopteri; Pleuronectiformes; Cynoglossidae
Exons: 3
Source: RefSeq, a predicted model, not a curated record
UGUCUCAGCCUCCUGCUCUGCGCUGCCUCAGAACCAGCGGUGUUGACGGGAUGCUGUUUUGACGGAGCGAUUCUGGACAAUUGGACACAGACUUAAAAGGAGCCAGAUGGACAGGGAAUGUACGGGGGUCUAUCUGUGGGUCAUGUUGGGCUGAGAAGAGAUGAGGAAAUGGCAGCUCAUUUAUGAAGGAUGCUAUUAGCAGUGAAGGACCACAGACGACCGCAGGCUGGAACUGUAUUCAGAUGAAGGGGAGAAGGUUGGAAGGAGCCUCUGAAUUCAGCUGGAGAACUGUUGUCUCUGAAGAGUCUUGCUGAUACAAAGACACCGGAUAAAGAGUGACCACUACCACAUUUAGAUCCUCACUUUUUAUGCCCUUCCAGUGGCAAUCAGAAAAGCUGAGCUUCCUCUGAAACUGAAAAUUUAAACUGACACUAGGGCAAGGAGAUGCCCCUAGUGGCAGAGAGGCAGAAGAUUCAUUUUAAUCCGAUUAAAAUAAAUCAGAUAGAUCUGAAAAAACGUUCCUAACUGUGACACAACUUUUUAUUUCUGAAACAAUCAGACCAAUAUCAGGUAGAGGUCAGUGUUCCUCACCUGUUUUCGGUGAAAAUGUCUCUCCAUAGAGUCGAUGUAUUUCAGUCAUUACUGUUCAUCUGGACAGGGUCUGGUAGAACGUGUAGAGAGUUUCGUUCUCAACUUCAGUCUUUGUCCUCAAUGAUAUUAAUCAGUCUACAGUCAGACUGUCCUGAUCUCACUCUGACACAAGCUGGGCCACUGACCAGAGGUUGAAACACCCACAAACAUGUUACUACUGGAUCUUUAAGCCUGAGACGCCAAAAGAAGAAUAUGAAGAAGCAGGUCUUGUUGUUCUAAAUAUGUUAAAAAAUUCCAAAAUAUAUUUAGAUUUCACUAUUGUCUUUAAUGUUGUUUUAAUGUCUUGUUUGUUGUCAGAGGGUUUAAAACACACACAGCCACUGAUGUCAUUGAUUUUCCACACAGUCAUCAUGAGAGAGUUCAACCGACCGUCACCUGGGAACAACGUCCUCACGUGUUUGACAGCUACAAUCCCAGCACUGAACCUGGUUCAUGGCAUGGACAGGAAUGAGUGGAAUCACCUUGGAACUUAUUCAUGGCAGUGCUGUUGAUCAACAACUCUGGAUGCUACACAGGAAAAGGAAAGAGGCAGCCUCGUACUCAUGCACAGACUUUUCCACAAACAAAAGAGAAAAGGAUCCCAAAACAGACGCGUUUGAGGACGGAGCAGCCAAGGACACGGUGUAAGAAGCUGUGACACGGGCCUUCCGCCCUCCUGCUCAGCUGCAGGGAGGAGAGGGAGGAGGGGAAGAACGGGAGUUUUUUUUUUUUUUUAAAUCUUUUGAACAUUGCUAUUCGCUUCCUGCUUCUACAAAGGCCAUGAAAGAGAAUGGGUAAUUCAUUAAUGUGUGUGCGUGUGACUGUGCAGCUCCGACUGACCUACUUCCACCGCCCUCA